GGGGAAUGCCUGGCCAGUGGCUAUCUCCUCCUCUUUCUCCUCCUCCUCCUCUUCCUCAAACUCGGGUUCCAGCUGGGUCUCAAACUCAGGCUCCAACUGGGUCUCAGUCUCCGACUCCUCCCAGCCAGCGGUGGUUGGCGGUAUGAGGCCCCAGGGCUCUAUGGUAGUGCUCAGGGUGGUGGCAGGGGCAGGGGGCAGCG
RNAcentral lists this long non-coding RNA (200 nucleotides) under Homo sapiens (human). RNAcentral's name for it is "HSALNT0121958". Lineage: Eukaryota; Metazoa; Chordata; Mammalia; Primates; Hominidae. The record is from RNAcentral.